GAUGAACGCUGGCGGCGUGCUUAACACAUGCCAGUCGAACGGAAAGGCUCCUGCUUGCCGGGGUACUCGAGUGGCGAACGGGUGAGUAACACGUGGGUGAUCUGCCCUGCACUUCGGGAUAAGCCUGGGAAACUGGGUCUAAUACCGGAUAGGACCACAUUUUGGAUGGUGUGGUGGAAAGUUUUUCGGUGUGGGAUGAGCUCGCGGCCUAUCAGCUUGUUGGUGGGGUAAUGGCCUACCAAGGCGUCGACGGGUAGCCGGCCUGAGAGGGUGUACGGCCACAUUGGGACUGAGAGACGGCCCAGACGCCUACGGGAGGCAGCAGUGGGGAAUAUUGCACAAUGGGCGCAAGCCUGAUGCAGCGACGCCGCGUGGGGGAUGACGGCCUUCGGGUUGUAAACUCCUUUCGCUAGGGACGAAGCGCAAGUGACGGUACCUGGAGAAGAAGCACCGGCUAACUACGUG
RNAcentral lists this ribosomal RNA (465 nucleotides) under uncultured bacterium. RNAcentral describes it as "partial 16S ribosomal RNA". It matches the Rfam family "Bacterial small subunit ribosomal RNA", at positions 28 to 507 of the family's 1533-position model. The record is from RNAcentral.